UUGAAGAAAAAGUGUGAGAUUUCAAGGGAUUAAGCUAAUAAAGGUGGUGAGCCCUUUAACAAGGGUAAAGAGAUUGUGCCCGAAGAUCGAGAAUAGAAGGAUAUCGAACUCCUAGUACUGCAUCAGGAUAGUCAGUAAAUAGCUCAUUUCAUCGAGGACUACAAUUGGAUUGGCAUCCUCAAAAUAUGUAGGUUCAAUUCUUUUGACACUUUUAGUCGUUCGUGGGCCCACGAGUCACUGCAAAUUUAAUUUUAUACUUUGGUUAUCUAUAUUACAAUAUAUA
Theobroma cacao (cacao) is the source of this 283-nucleotide non-coding RNA. Lineage: Eukaryota; Viridiplantae; Streptophyta; Magnoliopsida; Malvales; Malvaceae. The record is from RefSeq and is a predicted model, not a curated record.